This is an RNA transcript of Syzygium oleosum, 3432 nucleotides long. It is a transcript of the gene named 1,4-alpha-glucan-branching enzyme 3, chloroplastic/amyloplastic, with no coding region annotated. Lineage: Eukaryota; Viridiplantae; Streptophyta; Magnoliopsida; Myrtales; Myrtaceae. The record is from RefSeq and is a predicted model, not a curated record. The transcript is spliced from 21 exons.
CCUCUUAUCUAAAACCCUCCGGCGCCGGAGGACUUCCAUUUCUUCGUUCGCCCCAACGGAAAAGCAUGUCUUCGCUCUCCCUCCAAUUCAAAUUCCUCCACCUCUCCCCAAAUCUCGCCUCCCUUCACUCCCAAUCUCCGCUCGCGUCUCACCAGCCCAUCACAUUCGGCAACCGCACCAAGCUCGAGCUCCGAGCGUCGUCGUCGUCGUCCUCCUCCUCGGCCUCGAAGCAACCGCAGCAGCGGCCGAAGAAGAGGCGAGGCGGGAGCGACGCGGAGCGAGGGAUCGAUCCGGCGGGAUUCCUCACCAAGUUAGGCGUCUCCCACAAGGGCUUCGCUCAGUUCCUCCGAGAGAGGCAUAAAGCGCUGAAGGACCUCAAAGAUGAGAUAUUCAAUCGUCACCUCAAUCUUAAGGAAAUGGCCUCUGGAUUUGAGAUAUUGGGUAUGCAUCGUCAUGUGGAACAUCGGGUAGAUUAUAUGGAAUGGGCUCCAGGUGCUCGCUAUUGUGCCCUUGUUGGUGACUUCAAUGGCUGGUCACCUACUGAAAAUUGUGCUAGAGAGGGUCACUUUGGCCAUGACGACUAUGGUUAUUGGUUUAUCAUUCUUGAAGAUAAGCUAAGGGAAGGAGAAGAGCCUGAUGAGCUUUACUUUCAGCAGUAUAACUAUGUAGAUGACUAUGACAAAGGUGACAGUGGUCUUACCAUAGAAGAGAUCUUCAAGAAAGCAAAUGAUGAAUACUGGGAACCUGGAGAGGAUCGUUUUGUGAAAAAUCGAUUUGAAUUACCAGCAAAGUUAUAUGAGCAGUUAUUUGGGCCAAAUGGGCCUCAAUCAAUACAGGAAUUGGGACAAAUACCGGAUGCUGAGACGAGAUAUAGAGCUUUCAAAGAGGAGCAUAAGGACGAUCCGCCUGGCAGCCGACCUCCAUUUGACGUUAUUGACAAUGGUAAAACUUAUGACAUUUAUAACAUAGCGGGUGAUCCUGUUUCCUACGAAAAUUUUAAAGCUAAGAAGCCGCCGAUAGCAUAUUGGUUGGAGACGCGUAAAGGGAGGAAAGCAUGGCUAAAAAAGUAUACUCCUGGUAUUCCUCACGGAAGCAAAUAUAGGGUUUACUUUAAUACUCCCAGCGGGCCGUUGGAACGGGUUCCUGCUUGGGCUACUUAUGUACAGCCAGAUGCAGAAGGAAAGCAAGCUUUCGCUGUUCACUGGGAACCACCACCCGAAUGUGCCUACAAAUGGAAAAACCCUAGCCCAAAGGUGCCGGUGUCUCUGCGUAUAUACGAAUGCCACGUUGGAAUUAGUGGAUCCGAGGCAAAAGUAUCUUCCUUUAACGAAUUCACUGAGAAGGUUCUUCCUCAUAUCAAGGAUGCUGGUUAUAAUGCAAUACAAUUGAUUGGGGUAGUCGAGCACAAGGAUUAUUAUACUGUCGGUUAUAGAGUGACAAAUUUUUAUGCCGUGAGCAGCCGAUUUGGUACUCCUGAUGACUUCAAGUGCUUGGUUGAUGAAGCACAUGGUCUUGGAUUGUUGGUCUUUUUAGAUAUUGUCCAUUCCUAUUCAGCUGCAGAUGAGAUGGUUGGUCUCUCACUAUUUGAUGGAUCAAACGACUGUUACUUUCAUACAGGUAAGCGAGGACAACACAAAUACUGGGGUACCCGAAUGUUUAGAUAUGGAGACCCUGAUGUCCUGCAUUUCCUUCUAUCUAAUCUAAAUUGGUGGGUUGUUGAGUAUCAUGUUGACGGUUUCCACUUCCAUUCUCUCUCAUCAAUGAUGUACACGCACAAUGGUUUUGCCUCUUUUACUGGAGACUUUGAAGAGUACUGCAAUCAAUAUGUUGACAGGGAUGCAUUGAUGUAUCUCAUUUUGGCAAAUGAAAUACUCCAUGCUCUUCAUCCAAAUAUAGUAACAAUUGCUGAAGAUGCAACAUCUUAUCCAGGCCUGUGUGAGCCAACUUCUCAGGGUGGAUUGGGAUUUGAUUAUCAUGUCAAUUUAGCUGUAUCAGAGAUGUGGCUGUCUUUACUAGAAAAUACUCCAGAUCACGAGUGGAACAUGAGUAAGAUUGUCAGCACAUUAAUUGGUAACCGACACUAUGCUGAUAAGAUGCUUAUUUAUGCGGAAAACCACAAUCAAUCCAUAUCUGGAGGACAGUCAUUUGCUGAGAUACUUUUUGGUAAAAUCAGGCAGCAUUCUUCUGGCUCGAAAGAUCUACUGCUUCGAGGCUGUUCAUUGCACAAGAUGAUCCGACUAAUAACAUUCACAAUAUGUGGCCAUGCUUUCCUCAACUUCAUGGGUAAUGAAUUUGGUCAUCCGGAGAGAGUCGAAUUUCCGAUGCCAAGCAACAACUUCUCCUAUUCUCUAGCCAGCCGGCGUUGGGAUCUGUUGGGGAAUGGAGUGUAUCAAAAUUUAUUUUCCUUUGACAAGGACAUGAUGAAGUUGGACGAGAAUGAGAGGGUGCUUUCAAGAGGUUUUCCAAAUAUCCAUCAUGUGAAUGACUCCAGCAUGGUGAUAUCUUUUAUACGAGGUCCUCUUCUCUUCAUAUUUAACUUUCAUCCAACUGCUUCCUAUGAAAGGUAUGUGGUAGGCGUGGAAGAGGCUGGAGAGUAUCAAGUAAGCAAUUCUAAAUACAGAUGAAAAGGACUAUGGAGGUCAGGGGCUUAUAGAGGAAAGCCAGUAUCUCCAGAGAACCAUUAGCCGACGAGCUGAUGGCUUGCGGAAUUGCUUGGAAGUCCCUGUACCAAGUAGGACUGCCCAGGUGUACAAAUUGAAACGGAUCUUGAGGAUAUGAAUGUUAUUUAACUUUCUCAAGGAGAGUGCAUUUGGAGGUUGGAAAGGACAAAGAAAUUCUAUUUCGCAAAGCUAAUUUUGAAACACAAGAAGCGAACGAGAUAAACACUGCUUGGCAUGUCAGCUCCAAAAGAUUACUUGCCCUUUUGACCAGCAUAAAUCAAUGCUAGUUGCUGGAGCAUUAUAUUGUGAGAGAAAAAUUAAUUCCAAUUGAGGUAUUCGGUGGAAUUUCAGUCUAUUCACCUUAGAAAUUUUUGCUGUCCUCAUUCAAGUAUACGGAUCGAACAAUUUAUGGCACGGGCAGCCUGGAGUAGUGAGAGUUUCAGCUCUCACAACACGUGGAAUCAAUAUGAGUCAGAGUGGUAUCAGGGCAGAUCUUUCAGAAUCUAAAGCACUUACUCCGUUUGGUGUCUUGCAGAGGAACGUAUGUGGUUGGUCUAAAUCUCUCCGACAGGAGGCCGAGUUUGAAACGGGUGAGGUGGCAAGCAAAGAUCAUGCGCAUCCAUUGCCUUAUUUUUCGCUCCUCCAUUUGAUGAUGUUUGUCCAUUGCCUUUUACAUAACUGUAUUUUCAAAGAUAAGAUUUGAUACAAAAGGAAGUUUGUAGUGUAAUUAUCGAACCAUCCAAAAGGAGCAUGAUUAUUCUUUUAGGUUGUC